CCUCUUGUGGUUUAACACUCAAAGUAUUGGUGCGUGACGCCAGGGGUCCCGGGUUCGAUUCCCGGCAAGGGUC
Molecule: transfer RNA, 73 nt
Filed under: Agrilus planipennis (emerald ash borer)
Lineage: Eukaryota; Metazoa; Arthropoda; Insecta; Coleoptera; Buprestidae
Rfam family: tRNA
About the family: Transfer RNA (tRNA) molecules are approximately 80 nucleotides in length. Their secondary structure includes four short double-helical elements and three loops (D, anti-codon, and T loops).
Source: Rfam by way of RNAcentral